RNAcentral lists this ribosomal RNA (185 nucleotides) under uncultured bacterium. RNAcentral's name for it is "partial 16S ribosomal RNA". It matches the Rfam family "Bacterial small subunit ribosomal RNA", at positions 1318 to 1500 of the family's 1533-position model. The record is from RNAcentral.
ACAUGAAGCUGGAGUUACUAGUAANCGCAGAUCAGAAUGCUGCGGUGAAUGCGUUCCCGGGUCUUGUACACACCGCCCGUCACACCACGGAAGUUGGGGGCGCCCGAAGCCACUUAGCUAACCCAUUUGGGAAGCGAGUGUCGAAGGUGAAAUCAAUAACUGGGGUGAAGUCGUAACAAGGUAGC